Molecule: ribosomal RNA, 850 nt
Filed under: uncultured archaeon
Lineage: Archaea
Description: bacterial SSU rRNA
Rfam family: Archaeal small subunit ribosomal RNA
Source: RNAcentral
ACGGCUCAGUAACACGUAGCUAACCUACCCUUAGGACGUUUACAACCCCGAGAAAAUGGGGCUAAUAACGAUAGAUGUGAUGUCCUGGAAUGGUAUCACGUCCAAAGGUAUCCCAUACAUGUNUGGUAUACGCCUAAGGAUGGGGCUGCGGCCGAUCAGGCAGUUGGUGAGGUAAUGGCUCACCAAACCUUUGACCGGUAUGGGCCAUGAGAGUGGUAGCCCAGAGAUGGACACUGAGACAAGGGUCCAGGCCCUACGGGGCGCAGCAGGCGCGAAACCUCCUCAAUGCACUAACGUGCGAAGGGGUUACCUCGAGUGCCACCUGAAGAAGGUGGCUUUUCCUUGGUCUAAAAAGCCUCGGGAAUAAGAGGGGGGCAAGACUGGUGUCAGCCGCCGCGGUAACACCAGCCCCUCGAGUGGUGGGGAUGAUUAUUUGGCCUAAAGCGUCCGUAGCCGGCCGGAUAAGUUUCCCGUUAAAUCUAACGUCUCAAGCGUUGGACUGCGGGAAAUACUGUCUGGCUAGAGAGUGGGAGAGGUGUACGGUAUUCUGGGGGUAGGGGCGAAAUCCUUUGAUCCCCGGAGGACCACCAGUGGCGAAGGCUGUACACUAGAACACGUCUGACGGUCAGGGACGAAAGCUGGGGUAGCGAACCGGAUUAGAUACCCGGGUAGUCCCAGCCGUAAACGAUGCAUGCUAGGUGUUGGGUUGGCCACGAGCCACCCCAGUGCCGCAGGGAAGCCGUUAAGCAUGCCGCCUGGGAAGUACGAUCGCAAGGUUGAAACUUAAAGGAAUUGGCGGGGGAGCACCACCAGGCGUGAAGCCUGCGGUUUAAUUGGAGUCAACGCCGGG